AUUGAACGCUGGCGGCAGGCCUAACACAUGCAAGUCGAGCGGAUGAAGGGAGCUUGCUCCUGGAUUCAGCGGCGGACGGGUGAGUAAUGCCUACGUAUCUGCCUGGUCGUGGGGGCUAACGUCCGGAAACGGGCGCUAAUACCGCAUACGUCCUGAGGGAGAACGUGGUGGAUCUUCGGACCUCACGCUAUCAGCUGAGCCUAGGCCGCAUUAGCUAGCUGGUAUGGUAAAGGCUUACCAAGGCGACGAUCCAUAACUGAUCUGAGAGGGUGAUCAGCCACACUGGAACUGAGACACGGUCCAGACUCCUACGGGAGGCAGCAGUAGGGAAUCUUCCGAAAUGGGCGAAAGCCUGACGGAGCAACGCCGCGUGAGUGAUGAAGGUCUUCGGAUCGUAAAACUCUGUUAUUAGGGAAGAAAAUAUGUGUAAGUAACUGUGCACAUCUUGACGGUACCUAAUCAGAAAGCCACGGCUAACUACGUG
RNAcentral lists this ribosomal RNA (484 nucleotides) under uncultured bacterium. RNAcentral's name for it is "partial 16S ribosomal RNA". It matches the Rfam family "Bacterial small subunit ribosomal RNA", at positions 30 to 507 of the family's 1533-position model. The record is from RNAcentral.